RNAcentral lists this long non-coding RNA (726 nucleotides) under Elaeis guineensis (African oil palm). RNAcentral's name for it is "long non-coding RNA (EGUI_LNC046277)". The record is from RNAcentral. Lineage: Eukaryota; Viridiplantae; Streptophyta; Magnoliopsida; Arecales; Arecaceae.
UUCAUAGGUCCAAACCUAAGUCAGUAGCACAGAAAUAAAUUCUUGUACCAAUCGAAGUGACCAUCUAGUAAUGAUACUCGACAGCCGGAUAGGUCGAAUGUGUAGAACAACAUUCUGAGAACCCAUGCGGAUAUAGUUUCCAUAUAAUUCAUCCCCUUGACCAAAAUGCUCAUAGGACACCUCAGAGUUCAUCUGUCAACUCUGAUCAGGUUGUCCACAUUGUAUUUUAAAAUAUCAAAUCUAUCUGAUGGAUUAUCCUGACCAAAGUUUUGCUAAAUUGAAAUACAGCGACUCAUUCUUCUUCAACUCUUGAAGUGGUCAAUCCCAUCUUGAUCACACUCUGACUUUGCAACUACUUGACUGUGUCCAAAAACCUUCCGUCACUGAAUUAAAAAUUCAGUUAGUCCAGUACCAAAGCAUAGUGAGUUGCUUGCAAGUCACUGAGGUGAUCUCAAGUCUAAGGGACACUUAUACCUAUAUUCCAUCAGAGACAUUCUCGACAGCAGAAUGCUCUAGAGUUGGUCACGUUCAAUGAUGAUGUACCCUUACAUCUCACAUGUAUGCCAUAUCAGUGUCUCCACACUCCUUGGUUAAGAGGACAACCAACCCAUAUGACCUACAGUGAUCUAUGCUCGAUAGAAGCUGUCGUCCUUAUUAACAGCCUAUCAUUUGGUCAUGAAUAAUUUUAAAAACUAAUCAAUAAAUCUUCUCUUUAUUGAACCUAAA